GUGGGGAAUAUUGCACAAUGGGCGCAAGCCUGAUGCAGCAACGCCGCGUGGGGGAUGACGGCCUUCGGGUUGUAAACCUCUUUUAGUAGGGAAGAAGCGAAAGUGACGGUACCUGCAGAAAAAGCACCGGCUAACUACGUGCCAGCAGCCGCGGUAAUACGUAGGGUGCAAGCGUUGUCCGGAAUUAUUGGGCGUAAAGAGCUCGUAGGCGGUUUGUCGCGUCUGCUGUGAAAUCCCGAGGCUCAACCUCGGGCCUGCAGUGGGUACGGGCAGACUAGAGUGCGGUAGGGGAGAUUGGAAUUCCUGGUGUAGCGGUGGAAUGCGCAGAUAUCAGGAGGAACACCGAUGGCGAAGGCAGAUCUCUGGGCCGCUACUGACGCUGAGGAGCGAAAGCAUGGGGAGCGAACAGGAUUAGAAACCCCUGUAGUCC
This 430-nucleotide ribosomal RNA is filed under the name uncultured bacterium. RNAcentral's name for it is "partial 16S ribosomal RNA". It matches the Rfam family "Bacterial small subunit ribosomal RNA", at positions 354 to 796 of the family's 1533-position model. The record is from RNAcentral.